Molecule: unclassified non-coding RNA, 277 nt
Organism: Cricetulus griseus (Chinese hamster)
Lineage: Eukaryota; Metazoa; Chordata; Mammalia; Rodentia; Cricetidae
Gene: 7SK
Rfam family: 7SK RNA
About the family: 7SK was discovered as an abundant small nuclear RNA in the mid-70s but a possible function has only recently been suggested. Two independent studies have found that 7SK RNA binds the CDK9/cyclin T complex (known as elongation factor P-TEFb).
Source: Ensembl
AGAGGGCCAUCUGGCUGCAGCAUCUGUCACCCCAUUCAUGGCCAGGGUUGAUUUGACUGCUCUGACUGGCUAGGCGGGUGUCCCCUUCCUCCCUCACCGCUCCAUGUGCAUCUCUCCCGAAGUUGCACACUCAGUCGAAGAGGACAACCUUCCCCCAAUAGAGGCAGACCAGUCUUCGGUCAAGGGUAUACAAGUAGCUGCGCUCUCCUGCUAGAACCUCCAAACAAGCUCUCAACGUCCAUUUUUAAAAUAUUUUGCCAGCAUGUUUUGAUUCUAU